GCCCUAGUAGCUCAGACAUCAAAGCAC
This 27-nucleotide transfer RNA is filed under the name Acipenser oxyrinchus (Atlantic sturgeon). RNAcentral describes it as "partial transfer RNA-Thr". Lineage: Eukaryota; Metazoa; Chordata; Actinopteri; Acipenseriformes; Acipenseridae. The record is from RNAcentral.